RNAcentral lists this ribosomal RNA (913 nucleotides) under uncultured marine archaeon. RNAcentral's name for it is "bacterial SSU rRNA". It matches the Rfam family "Archaeal small subunit ribosomal RNA", at positions 1 to 921 of the family's 1478-position model. The record is from RNAcentral.
UUCCGGUUGAUCCUGCCGGACCUGACUGCUAUCGGAUUGAUACUAAGCCAUGCGAGUCUUUGCAGUAAUGCAAGGCAUACGGCUCAGUAACACGUAGUCAACUUACCCUAUGGACGAGGAUAAUCUCGGGAAACUGAGCAUAAUACUCGAUAGAUCAUAAUGCCUGGAACGGUUUAUGGUUGAAAUGAUUCGUCGCCAUAGGAUGGGACUGCGGCCUAUCAGCUUGUUGGUGAGGUAAUGGCCCACCAAGGCGAUUACAGGUACGGGCUCUGAGAGGAGAAGCCCGGAGAUGGGUACUGAGACAAGGACCCAGGCCCUAUGGGGCGCAGCAGGCGAGAAAACUUUGCAAUGUGCGAAAGCACGACAAGGUUAAUCCGAGUGAUUUCUGCUAAAGAAAUCUUUUGCAAGUCAUAAAACCACUAGUGAAUAAGGGGUGGGCAAGUUCUGGUGUCAGCCGCCGCGGUAAAACCAGCACCUCAAGUGGUCAGGAGGAUUAUUGGGCCUAAAGCAUCCGUAGCCGGCUCUGUAAGUUUUCGGUUAAAUCCAUGUGCUCAACGCAUGGGCUGCCGAAAAUACUGCAUAGCUAGGGAGUGGGAGAGGUAGACGGUACUCGGUAGGAAGGGGUAAAAUCCUUUGAUCUAUCGAUGACCACCUGUGGCGAAGGCGGUCUACCAGAACACGUUCGACGGUGAGGGAUGAAAGCUGGGGGAGCAAACCGGAUUAGAUACCCGGGUAGUCCCAGCUGUAAACGAUGCAGACUCGAUGAUGCAUUGGCAUAUAGCCAGUGCAGUGUCGCAGGGAAGCCGUUAAGUCUGCCGCCUGGGAAGUACGUACGCAAGUAUGAAACUUAAAGGAAUUGGCGGGGGAGCACCACAAGGGGUGAAGCCUGCGGUUCAAUUGGAUUCAACGCCGG